Molecule: ribosomal RNA, 421 nt
Filed under: uncultured archaeon
Lineage: Archaea
Description: partial 16S ribosomal RNA
Rfam family: Archaeal small subunit ribosomal RNA
Source: RNAcentral
CUACGGGUCGCACCAGUUAGGUAUAAUCUACAAUGCACGCAAGUGUGAUAGUUUGAGCCAGAGUGCGUAUCUAUUGAUAUGCUUUUGGAAAAUGUAAAAAGUUUUCCGAAUAAGGACUGGGUAAGACAGGUGCCAGCCGCCGCGGUAAUACCUGCGGUCCAAGUCGCAGCCAUUUUUAUUGGGUCUAAAACAUCCGUAGCUUGUUUUGUAAGUUUCUUGUGAAAUCUGAUAUCUCAAGUAUUGGGCGUGCAAGAAGUACUGCAGAACUAGAGACAGGGAGACGUAAAGAGUACGUUUGAAGUAACGGUAAAAUGUUUUAAUCUCAGACGGACUAACAACAGCGAAGGCACUUUACGAGAACUGUUCUGACAGUAAGGGAUGAAGGCUAGGGGCGCAAAACGGAUUAGAUACCCCUGUAGUC